UAGUAAACGUUGACGGGAAGAGUACACUUUCAAAAGCUUAUGUAGAGAGCUGGGGUAGGUGAAAGCCAGUUAAGUGAAGGAAGUGGAAGAUGGUCCUUGAGUUUCGUUCAUGAACGGUCAUUGUAAUGAUGGCGGAUAAGGAGCGACGUAUUCCUGCGUUAUAGGAGAGUAGCUGUUGACUACUUACCGAGUCCGUUUCUGUGAAGGAACGGAGCAUUUGGGUGGUACCGCGAGUACAAGACUCGUCCCAAUU
This 253-nucleotide non-coding RNA is filed under the name Brevibacillus laterosporus. RNAcentral describes it as "T-box sequence". It matches the Rfam family "T-box leader". Rfam says of the family: Uncharged tRNA acts as the effector for transcription antitermination of genes in the T-box leader family. T-boxes are found upstream of many aminoacyl-tRNA synthetase genes and some amino acid biosynthetic genes usually in Gram-positive bacteria. The anticodon of a specific tRNA base pairs to a specifier sequence within the T-box motif, and the NCCA acceptor tail of the tRNA base pairs to a conserved bulge in the T-box antiterminator hairpin. The record is from RNAcentral. Lineage: Bacteria; Bacillati; Bacillota; Bacilli; Caryophanales; Paenibacillaceae.